AUUGAACGCUGGCGGCAGGCCUAACACAUGCAAGUCGAGCGGAUGAAGGGUGCUUGCUCCUGGAUCCAGCGUCGGACGGGUGAGUAAUGCCUAGGAAUCUGCCUGGUAGUGCGGUAUAACGUCUGGAAACGGGCGCUAAUACUGCCUACGUCCUGCGGGUGAAAGUGGGGGAUCUUCGGACCUCACGCUAUCAGAUGAGCCUAGGUCGGAUUAGCUAGUUGGUGGGGUAAAGGCCUACUAAGGCGACGAUCCGUAACUGGUCUGAGAGGAUGAUCAGUCACACGGGAACUGAGACACGGUCCAGACUCCUACGGGAGGCAGCAGUGGGGAAUGGUGGACAAUGGGCGAAAGCCUGAUACAGCGAGGCCGCGUGUGUGAAGAAGGUCUUCGGAGUGGAAAGCACGUUAAGUUGGGAGGAAGCGCAGUAAGUUAAUACCUUGCGGUUUUGACGUUAACAACAGAAUAAGCACCGGCUAACUACGUG
Molecule: ribosomal RNA, 484 nt
Filed under: uncultured bacterium
Lineage: Bacteria
Description: partial 16S ribosomal RNA
Rfam family: Bacterial small subunit ribosomal RNA
Source: RNAcentral